CUUGAUGGAACCCAGCAGCAGCGGCUGCUCCGCCGGCCGGUCCUGGCCGUACGUCGCCAGCAGGGCCUGCGCCUC
Molecule: antisense RNA, 75 nt
Filed under: Streptomyces sp. RSD-27
Lineage: Bacteria; Bacillati; Actinomycetota; Actinomycetes; Kitasatosporales; Streptomycetaceae
Description: ASpks sRNA
Rfam family: ASpks TB sRNA
Source: RNAcentral